AUUGAACGCUGGCGGUAUGCCUAACACAUGCAAGUCGAACGGCAGCACGGUAAAGAUUUCGGGCUUUAUGGGUGGCGAGUGGCGGACGGGUGAGUAAUAGGUAGGAAUCUGUCCUGGAGAGUGGGAUAACACGCGGAAACGCGUGCUAAUACCGCAGAAUAUUGAGAAACCAAAGCAGGGGACCCUUCAGGUCCUUGCGCCACAGGCUGAGCCUACGUCGGAUUAGCCAGUUGGGGGGGUAAUGGCCUACCAAGGCGACGACCCGGAGCUGGUCGGAGAGGAUGACCAGCCACACUGGGACUGAGACACGGCCCAGACUCCUACGGGAGGCAGCAGUGGGGAAUCUUGGACAAUGGGGGAAACCCUGAUCCAGCGAUACCGCGUGUGUGAAGAAGGCCUUCGGGUUGUAAAGCACUUUAGGUGGGGAAGAAAGGUGCGAGAGAAAUAUUUUCGUACUGUGACGGUACCCACAGAAUAAGCACCGGCUAACUCUGUGCCAGCCGCCGCCGUAA
Molecule: ribosomal RNA, 512 nt
Filed under: uncultured bacterium
Lineage: Bacteria
Description: partial 16S ribosomal RNA
Rfam family: Bacterial small subunit ribosomal RNA
Source: RNAcentral